AUUGAACGCUGGCGGCAGGCCUAACACAUGCAAGUCGAACGAGUGGCGGACGGGUGAGUAAUGUCUGGGAAACUGCCUGAUGGAGGGGGAUCACUACUGGAAACGGUAGCUAAUACCGCAUACCAUCAGAUGUGCUCAGUGGGGAUUAGCUUGUUGGUGGGGUAACGGCUCACCAAGGCCACGAUCCCUAGCUGGUCUGAGAGGAUGACCAUCUACACUGGAACGGUGUCACGGUCCAGACUCCUACGGGUGUCAGCAUUGGGGAAUAUUGCACAAUGGGAGCAAGCCUGAUGCAGCCAUGCCGCGUGUAUGAAGAAGGCCUUCGGGGUGUAAAGUACUUUCAGCGGGGAGGCGUUACCCGCAGAAGAAGCACCGGCUAACUCCGUGCCAGCCGCCGCGGUAAUAC
RNAcentral lists this ribosomal RNA (406 nucleotides) under uncultured bacterium. Its description in RNAcentral is "partial 16S ribosomal RNA". It matches the Rfam family "Bacterial small subunit ribosomal RNA", at positions 30 to 526 of the family's 1533-position model. The record is from RNAcentral.